UACGUAGGUGGCGAGCGUUGCUCGGAAUCACUGGGCAUAAAGGGCGUCUAGGCGGGUCGGCAAGUCGGCUGUGAAAUCCCUCGGCUCAACCGAGGAAUGGCAUCCGAUACUGUCGGUCUUGAGGGCGAGAGGGGAGAGUGGAACUCCUGGUGGAGCGGUGAAAUGCGUAGAUAUCAGGAGGAACGCCGGUGGCGAAAGCGACUCUCUGGCUCGUUCCUGACGCUGAAGCGCGAAAGCUAGGGGAGCAAACGGG
This 253-nucleotide ribosomal RNA is filed under the name uncultured bacterium. RNAcentral describes it as "partial 16S ribosomal RNA". It matches the Rfam family "Bacterial small subunit ribosomal RNA", at positions 524 to 776 of the family's 1533-position model. The record is from RNAcentral.